Molecule: ribosomal RNA, 430 nt
Filed under: uncultured Elusimicrobium sp.
Lineage: Bacteria; Pseudomonadati; Elusimicrobiota; Elusimicrobia; Elusimicrobiales; Elusimicrobiaceae
Description: bacterial SSU rRNA
Rfam family: Bacterial small subunit ribosomal RNA
Source: RNAcentral
AACGCGAAGAACCUUACCUGGGCUUGAACUACUCGUGGUAGUUCGCUGGAAACAGUGGACGACCCGCAAGGGAGCGAGCAGAGGUGCUGCAUGGUUGUCGUCAGCUCGUGUCGUGAGAUGUUGGGUUAAGUCCCGCAACGAGCGCAACCCCUAUCUCAUGUUGCUAUUCCCGCAAGGGAAGCACUCUUGAGAAACUGCCUUCGAUAAGAAGGAGGAAGGUGGGGACGACGUCAAAUCCUCAUGGCCCUUAUGUCCAGGGCUACACACGUGUUACAAUGGCCGGUACAAUGGGAAGCAAUACCGCAAGGUGGAGCCAAACCCCAAAGCCGGCCCCAGUUCAGAUCGUGGGCUGCAACCCGCCCACGUGAAGGCGGAAUCGCUAGUAAUCGCUGAUCAGCAGGCAGCGGUGAAUACGUUCCCGGGCCUUGUA